AUACUUACCAGACAGGGGAGAUAUCGUGAUCAAGAAGGCGGUUCACCCAGGGCGAGGCUCAGCCAUUGCUCUUCAGCUGUGCUGACCCCUGCGAAUUCCCCAAAUGUGGGAAUCUCGACUGCAUAAUGUGGGAAUC
The sequence is a small nuclear RNA, 136 nucleotides long. Its record names the gene U1. It matches the Rfam family "U1 spliceosomal RNA". From Rfam's summary of the family: U1 is a small nuclear RNA (snRNA) component of the spliceosome (involved in pre-mRNA splicing). The record is from Ensembl.